AAACCAACAGGGAUUGCCUUAGUAGCGGCGAGUGAAGCGGCAAAAGCUCAAAUUUGAAAUCUGCUCUUUCAGAGUCCGAGUUGUAAUUUGAAGAAGGUAUCUUUGGGUCUGGCUCUUGUCUAUGUUUCUUGGAACAGAACGUCACAGAGGGUGAGAAUCCCGUGCGAUGAGAUGAUCCAGGCCUAUGUAAAGUUCCUUCGAAGAGUCGAGUUGUUUGGGAAUGCAGCUCUAAGUGGGUGGUAAAUUCCAUCUAAAGCUAAAUAUUGGCGAGAGACCGAUAGCGAACAAGUACAGUGAUGGAAAGAUGAAAAGAACUUUGAAAAGAGAGUGAAAAAGUACGUGAAAUUGUUGAAAGGGAAGGGCUUGAGAUCAGACUUGGUAUUUUGUAUGUUACUUCUUCGGGGGUGGCCUCUACAGUUUAUCGGGCCAGCAUCAGUUUGGGCGGUAGGAGAAUUGCGUUGGAAUGUGGCACGGCUUCGGUUGUGUGUUAUAGCCUUCGUCGAUACUGCCAGCCUAGACUGAGGACUGCGGUUUAUACCUAGGAUGUUGGCAUAAUGAUCUUAAGUCGCCCGUCUG
RNAcentral lists this ribosomal RNA (576 nucleotides) under Candida tropicalis. Its description in RNAcentral is "eukaryotic LSU rRNA". It matches the Rfam family "Eukaryotic large subunit ribosomal RNA", at positions 62 to 655 of the family's 3401-position model. The record is from RNAcentral. Lineage: Eukaryota; Fungi; Ascomycota; Pichiomycetes; Serinales; Debaryomycetaceae.